This 454-nucleotide ribosomal RNA is filed under the name uncultured Nitrosomonadales bacterium. RNAcentral describes it as "bacterial SSU rRNA". It matches the Rfam family "Bacterial small subunit ribosomal RNA", at positions 195 to 644 of the family's 1533-position model. The record is from RNAcentral. Lineage: Bacteria; Pseudomonadati; Pseudomonadota; Betaproteobacteria; Nitrosomonadales.
GGGGAUCGUAAGACCUAGCGUUGAUGGAGCGGCCGAUAUCUGAUUAGCUAGUUGGUGGGGUAAAGGCCUACCAAGGCGACGAUCAGUAGCUGGUCUGAGAGGACGACCAGCCACACUGGAACUGAGACACGGUCCAGACUCCUACGGGAGGCAGCAGUGGGGAAUUUUGGACAAUGGGGGCAACCCUGAUCCAGCCAUUCCGCGUGAGCGAAGAAGGCCUUCGGGUUGUAAAGCUCUUUCGCAAGGGAAGAAAACUCGAUCUCUAAUAUAGGUUGAGGCUGACGGUACCUUGAUAAGAAGCACCGGCUAACUACGUGCCAGCAGCCGCGGUAAUACGUAGGGUGCGAGCGUUAAUCGGAAUUACUGGGCGUAAAGCGUGCGCAGGCGGUUUUGAAAGUCAGAUGUGAAAUCCCCGGGCUCAACCUGGGAACUGCGUUUGAAACUACAAAGCUAG